GCCCGGGUGGCGAAAUUGGUAGACGCAGCAGACUCAAAAUCUGCCGUCCGCAAGGAUGUGCUGGUUCGAUUCCAGUCCCGGGCA
This 84-nucleotide transfer RNA is filed under the name Bacteroidota bacterium. RNAcentral describes it as "Bacteroidetes bacterium tRNA-Leu". It matches the Rfam family "tRNA". From Rfam's summary of the family: Transfer RNA (tRNA) molecules are approximately 80 nucleotides in length. Their secondary structure includes four short double-helical elements and three loops (D, anti-codon, and T loops). The record is from RNAcentral. Lineage: Bacteria; Pseudomonadati; Bacteroidota. RNAcentral also lists the same sequence under 1 other name.